Molecule: unclassified non-coding RNA, 397 nt
Filed under: Hevea brasiliensis (rubber tree)
Lineage: Eukaryota; Viridiplantae; Streptophyta; Magnoliopsida; Malpighiales; Euphorbiaceae
Source: RNAcentral
AAUAAAUGUCUCACCAUCACUAUUGUUAGAAAUGGAGUUAAUAUUAUAAUCGUGAGCAUGAGCAUACACCUUUCGGCAUCUUCUCUGGGAAGUGUUGUCUUGAUCAGCAAUCAUGUCAUGAAUGUCUUUAGAGGCUACCUUGUUCGUUGCCAUAUUCUCUGACAAAUUCCAAUGGCAACCAUUGGAAAGAGAUACUUUGUCUUGUUCACUAGUGAAACUGAUUCCCGCCAAAAGUGCAUUCUCUGAACUCACAAAUCGAUUGGGGUUCAUCUCUUUAACAGUUUUCACCUUAUGCUCCUUAACCUUCCAUAAUUUAAUAGUCUUUUCAUUUGUUGAAAGGAUGAAGCGAGAUCCAUUGGGUGACACACACCACUUUAUUUUAUUAAUCUUCUCUUCG